This 499-nucleotide ribosomal RNA is filed under the name uncultured bacterium. Its description in RNAcentral is "partial 16S ribosomal RNA". It matches the Rfam family "Bacterial small subunit ribosomal RNA", at positions 28 to 507 of the family's 1533-position model. The record is from RNAcentral.
GACGAACGCUGGCGGCGUGCCUAAUACAUGCAAGUCGAGCGGACUGAAUGGGAGCUUGCUCUUGUUCGGUCAGCGGCGGACGGGUGAGUAACACGUGGACACCCUGCCCGCAAGACCGGGAUAACUCCGGGAAACCGGAGCUAAUACCGGAUAACACCCAAGACCGCAUGGUCGUUGGGUGAAAGGCGGCGGAAGCGGACACUUGCGGAUCUGCCCGCGGCGCCUUAGCAGGGUGGGGAGGGUACGGCUCAGCCAGGCGGCCAGGCGGAGCCGGCCGGAGAGGGUGGGUGGCCACACUGGGAGGGGGACACGGCCCAGAGGCCUUCGGGGAGCAGCCGGAGGGAAUCGUCCGCCAUGGGUGAGAGCCUUACGGAGCGGCGCCGCGUGAGCGAAGAAGGCCGUCGGGUCGGAAAUCUCGGUUGUGAGGGACGAAGGAGCGCCGUUUGAAGAAGGCGGCGCGGUGACGGUACCUCACGAGGAAGCCCCGGCUAACUACGUG